This 253-nucleotide ribosomal RNA is filed under the name uncultured bacterium. Its description in RNAcentral is "partial 16S ribosomal RNA". It matches the Rfam family "Bacterial small subunit ribosomal RNA", at positions 524 to 776 of the family's 1533-position model. The record is from RNAcentral.
UACGUAGGGUGCGAGCGUUAAUCGGAAUUACUGGGCGUAAAGCGUGCGCAGGCGGUUUUGUAAGCCAGAUGUGAAAUCCCCGGGCUCAACCUGGGAAUGGCAUUUGGGACUGCAAGGCUGGAGUGUGGCAGAGGAGACUGGAAUUCCACGUGUAGCAGUGAAAUGCGUAGAGAUGUGGAGGAACACCGAUGGCGAAGGCAGCCCCCUGGGCUAACACUGACGCUCAUGCACGAAAGCGUGGGGAGCAAACAGG